This 497-nucleotide ribosomal RNA is filed under the name uncultured bacterium. RNAcentral's name for it is "partial 16S ribosomal RNA". It matches the Rfam family "Bacterial small subunit ribosomal RNA", at positions 28 to 507 of the family's 1533-position model. The record is from RNAcentral.
GAUGAACGCUGGCGGCGUGCCUAAUACAUGCAAGUCGAGCGAACAGACGAGGAGCUUGCUCCUCUGACGUUAGCGGCGGACGGGUGAGUAACACGUGGAUAACCUACCUAUAAGACUGGGAUAACUUCGGGAAACCGGAGCUAAUACCGGAUAAUAUAUUGAACCGCAUGGUUCAAUAGUGAAAGACGGUUUUGCUGUCACUUAUAGAUGGAUCCGCGCCGCAUUAGCUAGUUGGUAAGGUAACAGCUUACCAAGGCAACGAUGCGUAGCCGACCUGAGAGGGUGAUCGGCCACACUGGAACGGAGACACGGUCCAGACUCCUACGGGAGGCAGCAGUAGGGAAUCGUCCGCAAUGGGCGAAAGCCUGACGGAACAACGCCGCGUGAGUGAUGAAGGUCUUCGGAUCGUAAAACUCUGUUAUUAGGGAAGAACAAAUGUGUAAGUAACUAUGCGCGUCUUGACGGUACCUAAUCAGAAAGCCACGGCUAACUACGUG